UUUACUUAAAGAAUAUUAAGCCUAGCUUCUUCAGAAUUUGAUCUUGUUUCUAGCUUCACUUGAUUAUUGGGUACUUCUAUGAGUUGUAAGAAAUUUAGUACUUAUCUUAUGAAGACAUGUCAUUGAUGCAGGUGACAAACAAAAAUAUGAAUGAGUCGCCCCACACUUGCACUCGUGAUAUGCUUUGCGUUGUUGUUAGUAUCAUUACCUAUCAUCCAUUGAAGGGGCUACCGAGUUGCUGCUCUUGUUCCUUCUGGUUUGCUUCAGGUCAAAAUUGGUUUGCUUCAGGAGCACGGUGAGCUAAAUGGAGAAGAAAUGUAGAUCUAGCAAUGAGACGGUGGAGGCUCUUAUUUGUUUUGGGUCGUUUUGUAAUUCCUAGUAACGUUGAAUUUGUUUCUAUGGAUUUUAAUUUUAUGUACUUUUGUCAUUAAAAUCACCAAAUUAAUUAGUGAACAACUAUUUUGUAAUGCAUGUGUCCUAUGGGCACUAAUAUUAAUUGUAAUAUUACUUUUCAAGUCAAUGAAAAUCUUUUGUUAUUAUUAUUAUU
Spinacia oleracea (spinach) is the source of this 547-nucleotide long non-coding RNA. RefSeq lists it as uncharacterized. The transcript has 3 exons. NCBI's taxonomy places the organism in Eukaryota, Viridiplantae, Streptophyta, Magnoliopsida, Caryophyllales, Amaranthaceae. The record is from RefSeq and is a predicted model, not a curated record.